GCUCCAAGCUCUGUUCUGCUCAGAAUGGUGGGGCUGGUCUAUGCGGGGCUGCCACCCUGCAGCCUGCAGCUCAGGAUUCACUGCAGGCCAGAGGAUGAAGGGAAGAACAAAAAGAACAUUCAAGUUCACAUUGAAGUUCAGCAUGUACAUCUUUCCUGUCAUACCAGUGGAGAUUUAGAGAUGUGGAGUGCACACAUCAGAUUGUGAGUAUUACAUAAUUCAACACGACCAGAUUUUGUCAUGUAAAAAUCUCUACUCUAUAGAAAGUUCAUACUGUAGAUUGGAUACAAUGGGAGUGUGGGCAGCAUGGCAGAAGACAUCUUCAUUUCACUUUUGAUAGCAUCAAUUCUCAAAGGGACUUCAUUUAUUCAGAAUAGCAUAGCAGGACCUUUUCUCUAAUUGGUAUUAUUUUUAAAUUCCAGGGGAAAAAAAAAAAAUCAUUAAAGAACAAAGUGCCAUAAGGAGAGCCAGAUUCCUGGGGAACAAUGGCAGUGUGGAGACAAAGCAUUUAUAAGCAAAACUGAAAUGGAGUUCAUUUGCAGCCUGACGGAAAGUGAUGUAGUGAAUGAACUGACAAUAUCCACCUGCUCCAGAUGUGGAGAGGCAGAGGACGACUGAUGCUGGGACACCCAGUUGCCUUCUGAGGUACCUGGCACAAGCGGGAUGGCUCAUACCCAGACUGCAUUCUGUAGAUAGAAGGAUAAAUGGAGAAACAGAUUCAUGUGAGUCUGUAGUGUCUGAAUACAGUGUCUGUAGUGUCAAAGCAGUUCCCAGUUAGCCUUGUUGCCAUAUUGCAGAGUUGCUUUUUCAGAGUUUUUGCCCCUUGGUUGCUAAUAAGCUGUAUUUGAAAUGGUGCUCUUACUAUUCACCUCCUCAACCACCUCUAGUGCCUCAGGAUGCUCGUCUUAAUAUUGCUGAAGCCUCCCGAGGUGAACAUUUUUGCUUUUCCCUUCUCUUAAGGCUGAGAUUUUCAUUGGAGUUUUAGGAAAGGAUUUAACCCACAUUUAUCUAAUGCCGAUAUCAUUUGGACUAAUAACUGUUUUAUGCAAAAUGAAAAAUCUUGGCAUAAACAAACUGGGAAGAGUUUCUCUUUAGGAUAUGAGUGGUCUGGUUACAGGUUUUUCUUCUUUCUCUGUCUUUUUUUUCUUUUUUAAUGCAUUUUCAUUGGUACCCAUGUAGUGUGAAGAGUCCUUGCUGAAGUUUUGGGUUUUAGUGUGUCACUGUGCAAUACUGUAUUGAAUGUGAGAAGUGCUGUCCCUGGUUCAGAGAGCUUUGCACUUAGUUAACUCUUAACGGAACAAAGCCAAAUGCUUUUGGUAAAUAUACUGUCUCUAAGUGAUCUUGAAAUCAGUCACAACCAUACAAUAAUUAUAACCAAAUCUGCUGAAUAGAUAAACAGUUAUUUCCUCCUCUCAUUCCUCCCUGCCUAAUAUUCCUCAAGUAAAGGCUGAUGUGGAAGGGCCUGUAUUAACCAAGCUGUGUUCCAUUCAUUCACUCAUGCUGAUGGAGAGACAUACUCUAUCCCUGCCUCUGUCUCACUGGCUUGAAACUAUAUUUCAACCUGAGAUUUUGUGAAGUAAAUCUCUUUUAUACCCUCCUACUGGAGCUGCUCCACUUUCCUUAUAACAUAUUUAAAUCCUUCUCCUGCUGGAUUUAUAAGGAGAUUGGCUACAUGCAUUGCAUGUGUAGUACAGAGCAGAGCAACGCGAAGACUGACCUCAAAUUGCAUAAGAAAGUUCUGUGGCAGAGGACGUAGACCUAAAAUGGGAAAGCCCAAGUAUUCCAGUCUCCAGAGAUGGCAAAUGCUGCCCCUCUGUGCUUUGUGUGUCUUAGCACUGUGCUACUGAAUAAAGCAAUGUCUG
RNAcentral lists this long non-coding RNA (1862 nucleotides) under Coturnix japonica (Japanese quail). RNAcentral's name for it is "lncRNA (ENSCJPG00005017425.1)". Lineage: Eukaryota; Metazoa; Chordata; Aves; Galliformes; Phasianidae. The record is from RNAcentral.